This 82-nucleotide small RNA is filed under the name Pantoea eucalypti. RNAcentral's name for it is "sroB RNA". It matches the Rfam family "sroB RNA". The record is from RNAcentral. Lineage: Bacteria; Pseudomonadati; Pseudomonadota; Gammaproteobacteria; Enterobacterales; Erwiniaceae.
CCGCAAUCUGAUUGCUGGCGAUAACCAAAAUCAUAAACAAAUUCCUCUUUGACGGGCCGAUAACAUUAUCGGCUCUCUUUUU